This 85-nucleotide transfer RNA is filed under the name Nocardioides daphniae. RNAcentral describes it as "tRNA-Leu". It matches the Rfam family "tRNA". From Rfam's summary of the family: Transfer RNA (tRNA) molecules are approximately 80 nucleotides in length. Their secondary structure includes four short double-helical elements and three loops (D, anti-codon, and T loops). Further hydrogen bonds mediate the characteristic L-shaped molecular structure. tRNAs have two regions of fundamental functional importance: the anti-codon, which is responsible for specific mRNA codon recognition, and the 3' end, to which the tRNAs corresponding amino acid is attached (by aminoacyl-tRNA synthetases). tRNAs cope with the degeneracy of the genetic code in two manners: having more than one tRNA (with a specific anti-codon) for a particular amino acid; and 'wobble' base-pairing, i.e. permitting non-standard base-pairing at the 3rd anti-codon position. Lineage: Bacteria; Bacillati; Actinomycetota; Actinomycetes; Propionibacteriales; Nocardioidaceae. The record is from RNAcentral.
GCCGGAGUGGUGGAAUUGGCAGACACGCAGGAUUUAGGUUCCUGUGCUCCAGGGCGUGGGGGUUCGAGUCCCCCCUUCGGCACCG